GACGAACGCUGGCGGCGUGCUUAACACAUGCAAGUCGAACGGAAAGGCCCUGCUUUUGUGGGGUGCUCGAGUGGCGAACGGGUGAGUAACACGUGAGUAACCUGCCCUUGACUUUGGGAUAACUUCAGGAAACUGGGGCUAAUACCGGAUAGGAGCUCCUGCUGCAUGGUGGGGGUUGGAAAGUUUCGGCGGUUGGGGAUGGACUCGCGGCUUAUCAGCUUGUUGGGGGGGUAGUGGCUUACCAAGGCUUUGACGGGUAGCCGGCCUGGGAGGGGGACCGGCCACAUUGGGCCUGCGAUACGGCCCAGACUCCUACGGGAGGCAGCAGUGGGGAAUAUUGCACAAUGGGCGGAAGCCUGAUGCAGCAACGCCGCGUGCGGGAUGACGGCCUUCGGGUUGUAAACCGCUUUCGCCUGUGACGAAGCGUGAGUGACGGUAAUGGGUAAAGAAGCACCGGCUAACUACGUG
This 468-nucleotide ribosomal RNA is filed under the name uncultured bacterium. Its description in RNAcentral is "partial 16S ribosomal RNA". It matches the Rfam family "Bacterial small subunit ribosomal RNA", at positions 28 to 507 of the family's 1533-position model. The record is from RNAcentral.